CGGCACUCACCCCACCUGAUCUCAUAUCUCCCGUAGGUGCAGGAGGUCGGGCCUCCGAUCCCGGCGACAUGAGGGCUCGAUCUCGCCUGAUUCUGCGCCCGGCGGUGGCUCCUUUUGAUUCGAGAUGUGGUGCAGCGACUCCAAGCAGACGCUCAAGUCCCGGGGCGCCGGCGCGGCCGGGGCCACCAUGGGAAACGAGGAGUCCGACAACUUCUCGCCCACUCUGCACAAGGACUGGUCCAUGGGCCUGCUCAAGCUCGUCACCGCCACCGUCAUCUUCAUGGGCGGCGGCGUGCCGCGCUGGACUACUCCCUCCUCGACGUCAACAUCGGCUACUGCGACCAAGGUAUAUCUCCGAACUUGCGUGCCUCGGUGAGGUCGAUUCCAGGGAAGAGGGGCUUAAUUCGCAGUUCAUUGAGGUCGAUUCAAGGAGUAGGAGCUUGAUUCUCUGCUUGGCGAGGUCGAUUUGAAGGAGGAGUUCGAUUUCAAGAAGGAGAGCUCGAUUUAAGGCCAAGCAAGGUCAAUUAGAGGCGGAAGGAACUUGAUUUGUUGUUUGUUGAUAGUGCUGCCAACGCACGUGCCUCGCCGGCCGCGCCGCAUGUCCUCCUGCACUUAACCCUAGAUUUAACUGGAACCACUCUCAAGAACAAAUAAAAUGCUUGCUGUGGACCGAACUUUCAGAAAAUACUCCAUCCAUCCUAAUAUAUUGGCUACUUUGGAUUUUCAUAUAUCAAACUUGUAUUAUUAAAAACAGCACAUGACAGAAUAUUGGUACUACAUUGAUUUUUAUGCAUCAUUGCAUUUGCGCUAUUGAUUUGCAGGCACGCAUUUCGUUACUCCUAACUCCAAUACCAAUCAAAUAGUGGGUUCCUAUCUGCCUACUGGAAGAAAGAAACAUACAUGUCGCACAUAUCCAUCCACCAUCUUAUGAACUGUCUGUCCGUUUUUCUAUAAAAGCAUUAGUAGGCUGGUUCAUUGGUAUUCAUAUUUCUUUGUGCGAGAUGUGGUAAAAAUGAGGAUACAAUAUCUUGACCAACUUCGUUAGCUUUUUUAUAUAUAUAUCAGACUGGGACUAACCAAAUUCACAUUUGGAUUUGCCUUUGUGCUAUCUAAAAUGGUUCUAAUUAAGAGAACUUGCGAUUUUGUACAUAUUUAGAUAUUUCAACAUUUCAAAGAAACUUGAUUCAACAAUCUAACUAACAUAUUCAUAGGUCACCUUAAUGGUAAUUUUUUAGGGUAUUCGUUGUCCACUGGUUACUUUGUUUACCUGUGAGUCUGUGACUGCAUCUUGAACUCAUUUUCAGAAUUUACACCAGAUGUCUUCACUUCUUGAGAUGCUUGAUGAUCCAGAUGUACCCACCAGAGAGCUAGCCCUUUCUCUAUUGGUUGAAAUUCUUGAAAAGCACGUAGGCGUCUCUGAAAUUCCUUAACAGUGACUACUUAUUUCCUACAGGUGCCAUUAUUGAAUGUCAUCUUCCAUGAAAAUGACCCAUGUCUUGCCUUUUCCGUCCAGAGAAAGGCAAUGGAGAGCUGCAUCGAAAUUCUCAUAGUUAAAUUACUGCAUGCAACCAAAGACGCUGCCUUGAAGGUUGUAUAUUAGGCUCAUUUCUGCUUGAAAACUGUGGUCACACAAUUUGACCCACUGGGAUGCCAUUUUUGUUAGUGUUAUAUCUGUGAAUAUCUUUUGAACUGAAUCUGGUGGAAAAGGGCCUCUAACAACUGGUUGCUUGUCUUUUCCCCCACUUCCACUGUUCUUUUAAUUUGUUUCUAAGUAUUAUGAUUCCCUCUUGUAAAUAUGUAGGCCAUAUCUUCUCAAUUACCCUGCCAGGAUGAGAAAAUUAUUAUCAGCAUCAAUAGUUUGAGCAAGCUUGUGAAUCGAUUGUCACAGGAAAACCUCAUGGCUCAUUUGUCAACAUUUCUUCCUGCACUUCUGGAUGCUUUUGAAAACCACAGCCCAUAUAUCCGCAAGGUUGUUAAUCCACUCCUACUUUUUUCUACAGAUUCCGUCUUUAAUAAGGCACUAUCUUUUUGGGCACAUGUUCUUAUUGUACUUCAUCUCCUCGAAUUUACCUGUACCAAAAGGUUGUAGGAACAAUUAAGGGGUCAAUUAUUUAGGCCAUAAAGGAGCAUAAUAUGUAGAAGUUGAACUCAGCUUGAGCUUAUACAUUUGUCAAUUGGAGUCUGUUCCCUUGAAA
This is an RNA transcript of Panicum virgatum (switchgrass), 2195 nucleotides long. RefSeq lists it as uncharacterized. The transcript is spliced from 3 exons. Lineage: Eukaryota; Viridiplantae; Streptophyta; Magnoliopsida; Poales; Poaceae. The record is from RefSeq and is a predicted model, not a curated record.